RNAcentral lists this ribosomal RNA (138 nucleotides) under Chaetomium sp. 15004. RNAcentral's name for it is "partial 18S ribosomal RNA". It matches the Rfam family "Eukaryotic small subunit ribosomal RNA", at positions 1696 to 1831 of the family's 1831-position model. The record is from RNAcentral. Lineage: Eukaryota; Fungi; Ascomycota; Sordariomycetes; Sordariales; Chaetomiaceae.
GCUCAGUGAGGCUUCCGGACUGGCCCAGAGAGGUCGGCAACGACCACUCAGGGCCGGAAAGUUAUCCAAACUCGGUCAUUUAGAGGAAGUAAAAGUCGUAACAAGGUCUCCGUUGGUGAACCAGCGGAGGGAUCAUUA